UACGUAGGGUGCGAGCGUUAAUCGGAAUUACUGGGCGUAAAGCGUGCGCAGGCUGUUCUGUAAGUCAGAUGUGAAAUCCCCGAGCUCAACUUGGGAACUGCGUUUGAAACUACAGGACUAGAAUAUGUCAGAGGGGGGUAGAAUUCCACGUGUAGCAGUGAAAUGCGUAGAGAUGUGGAGGAAUACCAAUGGCGAAGGCAGCCCCCUGGGAUAAUAUUGACGCUCAUGCACGAAAGCGUGGGUAGCAAACAGG
RNAcentral lists this ribosomal RNA (253 nucleotides) under uncultured bacterium. RNAcentral's name for it is "partial 16S ribosomal RNA". It matches the Rfam family "Bacterial small subunit ribosomal RNA", at positions 524 to 776 of the family's 1533-position model. The record is from RNAcentral.